This 179-nucleotide ribosomal RNA is filed under the name Shigella sp. FC1967. RNAcentral's name for it is "partial 16S ribosomal RNA". It matches the Rfam family "Bacterial small subunit ribosomal RNA", at positions 1365 to 1533 of the family's 1533-position model. The record is from RNAcentral. Lineage: Bacteria; Pseudomonadati; Pseudomonadota; Gammaproteobacteria; Enterobacterales; Enterobacteriaceae.
AAUACGUUCCCGGGCCUUGUACACACCGCCCGUCACACCAUGGGAGUGGGUUGCAAAAGAAGUAGGUAGCUUAACCUUCGGGAGGGCGCUUACCACUUUGUGAUUCAUGACUGGGGUGAAGUCGUAACAAGGUAACCGUAGGGGGAACCUGCGGUUGGAUCACCUCCUUACCUAAGAGA